Molecule: long non-coding RNA, 1658 nt
Organism: Terrapene triunguis (Three-toed box turtle)
Lineage: Eukaryota; Metazoa; Chordata; Testudines; Emydidae
Exons: 5
Source: RefSeq, a predicted model, not a curated record
GCUUCGGGGAGGAGCUGAGCUGCUGCAGGACGCUGCCAGACCGCCGAGACUCCGUCUUUACUCCCGGGCAGCCCUCCCAGGCCUGGGCUGCGAGCUGCCGGGCCCAGCCAUUGCAGCUUCCCCGCUGGGCACAACAGAAGCACGUCGGCUGAUCCCCUCCAACGCGUGUAAAGACAAGCGAUAAUAAUAUCCAGGGGGAGAGUAUCAAGAGAACUGAGCAUCAAACCCAUCUGACUCCACUAUUUCUUCUCGAAAUAGUGAUUGUGAUGAGGAGAAAAUUGUGAAGAAGCGAAUGGGUGCAAUUGGGAAACUUACCCAGAGUCCAUGACGGUGUGUCUGUCUAAUGAACGACCCUGGCUGUUGUGUGACAACCAUUUUAGUUUUAUUACUGGUGGUGAUACUGCUUUUCAACCUUGGAAAGGCGCACUUCGCACUUUGAAUGGGAAAUGGUGCUAGUAGAAGUGGAAUGCAUUUCCCAGGCGUGGGUUGAUUCCCCAAGAAAGCUCUGACUCCUGCACAGAUGUGGUUCACUCCAUUGUGCCUGAGGAGCAGCAUUGUCCACCAUAGUUCUCAUCCCAGAACUUCAGCUGAGUGUGUGCUGGAGGAGGCUUGAAGUCUUGGCUCAGCAGGACAGCGUGAGGAAGUCCAGGCUGGUGGAACAGGCGGGCUCAGUGGUACCUCAGGACAUCAGGUGGCACCCCGGCUGAGGGGGGUAACUUGUCACAGUGUAAUCUAGGCCUUAAUCCUGCAAACACUUGUUCACAUGAGUAACAUUACACACAAGUUCUCCCAAUAAUUUGAGUUGAGGUUGCAGGAUCAUCUGGGAGUUACUUAAGUUGUAAGCCCUUUUGGGGCAGGGAUUGUCUUUUUGGGCUGUGUUUGUACAGCACGUCGCACAAUGGCGCCCUGGUCCAUGACUGAGGCUUCUAGGUAGAACUGUGUGAAUAAUAGAUUUUUUUCAGCUGACUGGCAAUUCCUAAAUGGGGGGGAAAAUGAUAUAAAAUGAAACACAAUCUUUCAAAAUGUGGUGACUUGAAAAGUCAUCAAUUACUACUAGACUGAAACAUUUCAUUUAGGCAUUUUCAAAUGGAUCAUUUUCAAGUUGACCAUUUUAAAUGUUUUAGAUAAUUUUUAAAUAAAAUUUUGUAGCAAAAAGUCACUUCAAAUGGAAACCCUUCCAUUCAAAAAUGUUGAAAUGAAACACUUUGAUUUAUUUUGGGGGGGAUUUUUUUUGACCUAACCAGUUUAGUGAAAUUAGCAUGAGUUUGUGAAAAGUUCUGGUGUCACCGUAGCUGCAUUUUUCAGAAAACAAACAAAACCCUCAGUCAAAAAAGUAAUUGGUAAUGUUCUAUAAUUAGAUUUUACCAACCAAGGAACAAGUGUGAACUCCUAAAGCCCUACAACAGCCUUAACAUGGACUCAGACUGUCCCCUUGGGCACCCUGGUCUAGUUUGCCACCCACGCAUGACUGCCUUCAUGAUAGAUGGUACCUUAUACCAAAAGCCACAACAAUAAUCAGGUUACUCCCAGUCCCCAGGGACCAGUCACUUAUCAUAGGUCAGUUGUACCUCAGAUCCCAAACCAAAGACAACACUUCUAGCUAAUCCUAUAAUGCUAACUAAAGAUUUAUCAACUAGAGAGAAAUGAGUUGUUUACAA